AUGCUAGCACCAAGGAAAAAGUCUAGGACCUAUAAGUAGAGUCACAUGGACUGAGGUAAAAGAGAGGCAAUCUGACAGUCCCAGAGACUGUCUGUCAUUAAUUCAUAUGAACUCAGCACGCAUUAUUUUUGGACAAAGAAGAUGGCUUUUGCCAAUCAUUUCAGCCCCUCUUUAGCACUUUUGAGUGUGUUUAUCUUGACAGCUUUUUAUUUACUCUUUUUCCCCCCAGUGGUAUAUCAGAAAUAUGGCCCCAUCUGGAGGCAGUGCAUAACUUGAUGUUUUCCAUAGCCCUUCCAAUCAGGAGUAACUACAGCUGUCAGGGGAGCACUGAAAAAAUGUCAAUUAGCUAUAAAAGUUCCACAAACAAGCAUUAUGUCUUCCUUUUACGAGUCCCCGGGUGCAGCUCAAAGUGGAGUGAUGAUGUCCGUGCUUAGAAAUGGCUGUUGGGGGUCCCUGCAUCUUUUUUCCCAUUAAUAAUUGCUUGGCACUGGCACUGGAGUCGUUGCAUGGUGGAGCCCAGGCACGCAGAGUGUGUAGGUUAAAAAUAACCACAGUUCCAGCUUCCCUUGUGGAGCAGUGGGUUAAGGAUCUGACAUUGUCACUGCAGUGGCUUGGGUCCUCGCUGUGGCAUAGGUUCAAUUUCUGGCCCAGGAACUUCCACAUGUGGAAGAUAUGGCCCAAAAUACCCUCCAAAACUACAGUUCCCAUCACAUUUAUGGCGCUGAGUGGUGGCACUGAGUCCCUCUCUGUGCAAAGCAUGUGGAUGAGUUAAUCCCUCCAGGGAGCCAUCUGCACAGCCCUCCAGCCUCUUGGCUCCUCCCUCCUUCCUGACUCUCCAAGCCCUGGCUACUUGUCUGAAAAACUGAGGUUGCUAGGGCUCCAAAGAGGAAUAAGAGAGCAAUCUGCCUCCUGGGGUCACUCUUUAUAAUUGUUCAGGACCCAACCCACGUGGGUUUAUUUGCAGAAAAAUGUUCUGUCCUCCAGGCUAAAAGGCUAAAAGAAAAUCUCUCCCCUUCCCCCCACCUGAGUAAAACCAGGUAGGUACAGAUGGUGGAUGUGACCCCUCUUGACAUGCCUUUUUUUUUUUUCUUUUUAAUUAUAGUUGAUUCACAAUGUUCUGUCAAUUUCUGCUCCACAGCAAAGUGACCCAGCCAUACAUCCAUAUAAAUUCUUUUUUUCAUAUUACCCUCCAUCAUGUUCCAUCACAAAUGACUAGUUACAGUUCCCUGUGCUACACAGCAAGAUCUCAUUGCUUAUCCACUCCAAAUGAAAUAGUUUGCAUCUACUACCCCCAAACUCCCAGUUCCUCCCAUUCCCUCCCCCUCCCUCUCCCUCUUGGCAACCCAAGUCUGUUCUCAUAAAAUCUUAUUAACAAAGACAGACAGCCAACCCAAGUGCUCUAAUUUGUCAGUUGUAUAUUUUUUUAACUACCGCAUUGAAAUAUGAUUUAUCUCAGCUAUUGAAGUUUUUGGUGCCUCCUUAAAUCUUGCACCUGGAGCCAGUGCUUCACUCUCCUCACCCUGGUCCCAGCAUGGCCUUUUAGCCAGAGAGGAAGUGGGUGUGGUCCUUCCUUCAGCAAGGGCUCAGCUGUGUGUUCCCAGGGACUGACUGUCACCUUCAGCAGAGUUGGGGCCGCUGUGCCUUGAGUGGAGGUGGAAUCUGGAAAGAGAUGUACACAGACCUUGGCUCCAGCUCUUGAUCUGCAACCACGUAGCCUUCAGCAAAUCUUCCAACUUCUCUGAGCCUCCAGCUCCCUGCCGACAAAGCUGAAGCAGUAAUACCGACUUCGGAGGAUAGCUGUAAAGAUUAAAUGAGAUAAAGUAAGUCAAGUGGCCAGCCUUGGUUAAGUGGCACUUUCACAAUGUUUGCAGAGUGAAAAAAAUGCACAGAAUGUGGUUGAAGGCUGGGAGGAUUUUAUAUCAUCAGAUUGCCUUCCCCAAACUGGACCUUUUGUGUUGUUUUCACUUGCUGUGUCAGUUUUGGGAGAGUUCUGCCUGGUUUGUGUCCUGUGCUCAACCCAAGGUUAAGGUUAAUAUGUGAAUCUCUUCAUACAGAGUUAAUACAGAUAAUGCUUUGCAGCUAGGAAGCAUCUAAUAAGUAUUUGUUCCUUAAGUGGAAAGAAAGGUUUAUUUAUUUUCUUUUUAGGGCCACAUCUGUGGCAAAUGGAAGUUCCAGGCUAGUUCCAGCAAUGCGAGAUCAGAACUGCAUCUGCAACCUACACCGCAGUUUGUCAUAAUGCCAGUUCCUUAACCCACUGACGAGGCUAGGGAUUGAACUCUCAUCCUCAUGGAUACUAGUCAGAUUCUUUUUUUUUUUGCUUUUUAGGACCGCACCUGUGGCACAUGGAGGUUCCCAGGCGAGGGGUCCAAUUGUAGCUACAGCUAUGCCACAGCCAUAGUAAUCUCAGAUCCGAACCAUGUCUGCAACCCACACCAUACCUUGUGGCAACACUGGAUCCUUAACCCAAUGAGGAAGGCCAGGGAUCGAACCUGCAAUUUCAUGGUUCCUAGUUGGAUUCGUUUCCACUGCACCACGAUGGGAACUCCACUAGUCAGGUUCUUAACCUACUGAGCCACAUGGGAACUCCAAGAAAGUUUAUCGAUGAGCAAUUACAUGAAUGAAUUAGAAUGAGGGAGUGUGGUUUUAUCCCCCCACUGAAUGGAAUAUUUGAACAAUUCACACUGUCAGCCUUAUGGGUUUUUGAAGUUCUUUGAACUCAAGGAAGGCAAGUCUAGGCACCUUGAAGGCUUCCCUGACCCCUGAGAUUCCUAAGUAGGGGGGGAUCACAUGUACAUUGUUGCCUGGGUCCUUGUGCCUCCCUCCCCAGUAGGAGCAGAAAGAAGAAGCCAAUUUAGUGCUCUUGUUAAGUUGCUAGAUUGGCCCACAGAUUUUGAAUGAAUUCCUAACUGCUCUGAAGUCAGAAAGUUCAUGUCCUUGGGGAAAGAUGACACUGGGGGCAUUUGGUGGAAAUGAUGUCCACAGGCUAGAAGAUUUAUUUUUCAAGCUGGGAUCAAUUUAGUAGUAAAAGGGGGUGCUCUUAAUGAUUACACUGGAAUAAAAGACACCAAUCCAGGCUCUUCUGGAGAAGGACACAUAGUCAUCCUCCUUCCAAGGCAAUUCUGUCUGCAAAGUGCUUCCUGUUCAGUGUUGGAAAAUCAGUCAUCUCUUCCUCUGUCCAGUGGGUGGCUGGGUGCUUGCCCUUUGCAGCCCCUGCUUUCCAGUGGGUGGUGGGACGAUCGCACCCCCAUUUUCUGGCUAUACCACCUCUUUAGCCAGAAGCCUGGGAUCACUGAGAGCUGGGCUCUUCAUCCAUGGCCAUAGGCUGGCUCUCCUGCUGCACUGGGACUUUCUGUGUGAGAGAGUCAAGUCUUCCAGGAACCAGGAAAAUGGAAUCAGAAGUAUAACAGCCAGGUCUCUCGUUGUGGCUCAGAUGGUUAAGAAUCAAACAUAGUGUCAAUGAGGAUGCAGGUUCGAUCCCUGGCCUUGCUCAGCAGGUUAAGGAUCUGCCAUUGCUGUGAGCUGUGGUGUAGGUCACAGAUGUGGCUCCGAUCCCAUGUUGCUGUGACUGUGGCGUAGGCCAGCAGCUGUAGCUCCAAUUCAACUCCUAGCCUGGGAACUUCCAU
Molecule: long non-coding RNA, 3623 nt
Filed under: Sus scrofa (pig)
Lineage: Eukaryota; Metazoa; Chordata; Mammalia; Artiodactyla; Suidae
Description: lncRNA (ENSSSCG00000052828.1)
Source: RNAcentral